Hippocampus comes (tiger tail seahorse) is the source of this 3497-nucleotide RNA transcript. It is a transcript of the gene named RAB11 family interacting protein 4 (class II) b, with no coding region annotated. Lineage: Eukaryota; Metazoa; Chordata; Actinopteri; Syngnathiformes; Syngnathidae. The transcript has 16 exons. The record is from RefSeq and is a predicted model, not a curated record.
GGAGGAGGGAGGGGCCGUGAAUAGAAGUACUCAAGCCGUGUGAGCGAGGUACUCAGGGGACACCGCGUGAGCUUGCUACGCGUUUUUUGUGUAUGUGUAACGGAGAGAGAGAGAGCGAGCAGCUCGUUUAUGUUAGCCUGCUGGGCGCUGACCGGAAUACUUGAACUAGCAACGACGCAGCCUUUGGACUUUUGUCGAAGCUUUUGGGGCGACUAGACGACCGAAGCACCUGUUCCUGUGGCAGCCGCUAAACGGAGACGGAGGAGCGACGUCGCUCACUUGAGCACGGAGGGAGUGGAUGAGUUCGGUGGAUGAAGGUCUGUCUGGAGCCCAGAGGGGGGCCUUGGACGUUGGACCCCCUCUUUAGGAAGCGAGUCCAGUGAGGACGAGCAGCACUUUCCAGCCAUCAUGUGCACGCGGGCUUAUCCCGACGCCUUACCCAGCAGCCCGCUGUUCUCCAAAGAUGUCGAGGAAGACGAGGGCAAGGAGAGAGACUCGGACAGAGACAGCGCAGUGGAAAGCACCCAAGGCUCUGACACAUCGGAAGGUCCCACCAGACUAGGGGAUAAAGAAGACAUCUUGGGGGAUCUCUUCUUCCCUGCUGAGAAGACAAGUGGCACAAGCAACUCUGUUAUUUCUGACCUGUCGACGCGCUCCUCGGCUUCCCUGAACGAGGAGCAGUUUGAGGACUACGGCGAAGGAGGGGAGCCAGACUACGCUCCCAGCAGUCCUUCUCUCGACGACGACAACCGCAUCAACGGGUACUCUGAUCUUGGCUCAUCUGUGUCCUCAAGUGCGGGCCAGACACCUCGGAAGGUACGUCAACAGUACCCUGGUGAGAUGGUGGAUGUCUACUGUUCUCAGUGCAGCAAAAAAGUCAACCUGCUCAAUGACCUGGAAGCACGUCUCAAGAAUCUCAAGGCCAACAGCCCCAACAGGAAAAUCUCCAGUACAGCAUUUGGGAGGCAGCUGCUCCACAACAGCAACUUGAGUAGCAGCAACGGAAGCACUGAAGACCUUUUCCGAGAUAGCAUCGACUCUUGUGACAUCGACAUCAAUGAGAAGGUGAACUUAUUGGAAAAGAAAGUUGCAGAACUAGAGAAUGAAAUUUUGUUGAACGGUGAUCUGAAGUCCAAAUUGAAGCAGGAUAACACUCAUUUAGUACACAGAGUUAAUGAGCUGGAGGAGCAGCUGAAAGACCAGGAGGCCCGCGAGCACCAAAAUCUGCAGGGGGAGUUGAAACGACACCGAGAGGCCUUCGGCAAGAUGGAGAAAGACAAAAACACACAGAUUGAGCUGCUGAACAGCCGACUAAAGCAGCUGGAGGAUGAGAAAAAUGAAAUACAUGCUAGCAUGUGCAGACUCAAGACGCAGACAGAAAAAUUGGACAAGGAGAAGCAAAGGAUGACAGAUAAACUGGAGGACACCAGUUUGCGAUUGAAGGAUGAGAUGGACCUUUACAGGAAAAUGAUGGACAAACUGCGACAGAGCAAACAGCAGUUCCAGCAAGAGAAAGAAGCCAUGCAGGAGCUGAUUGAAGACCUGCGGCGAGAGCUGGAGCACUUGCAGCUCUUCAAGCUGGAGGCAGAGAAGCCCGGACGAGGGCGCAGCUCAACUUCCAGUCUGUCCGAGUAUAACAGUCGGACCAGAGAGAUGGAGCUGGAGUACGAGGUCAAGAGGCUCAAGCAGGAGAACCAGAGGCUGAAGGAGCAGAACGACGAGCUGAACGGUCAGAUUCUCAGCCUGAGCCUGUACGAAGCCAAGAAUUUGUGCGCCACGCAGACCAAGGCGCAGUCUCUGGCUGCCGAGAUAGAUAAUGCUUCCAGAGACGAGUUAAUGGAAGCCCUGAAGGAGCAGGAGGAAAUCAACAUGCGGCUGCGGCAGUACAUGGACAAAAUCAUUCUAGCCAUCCUCGAUCACAACCCAUCCAUCCUGGAGAUUAAGAAUUAGCAGGGACUCUGUGUCUGAAGAGACUGUGUGGAACAUUAGACACCCUGUUAUGGAACACAAACAACUGGAAUAUCCCCCCUGCUGUUUGUGGAUGAAAAACAUGGACAUACAGAAAGGGGAGUCACUCACUGCUUCUGCUGCUGUGACUCUUGAACGGCAUCUGUCCUUUUUCUACUAUGUCUGUUUUUUGGGGAUUGAACAAUAUUCGGACUAUUUGCAUACUGGUAUGAAAACUGGAACUGCACAUAGACAUAUUUUGUUGUCAUCAUAUUGAAGGGACAGUUCGCUCAGUGUAGGCCAAUAGUUCAGCACUGUGAGACAUAUGGCCAGUGUACCAUCAUCUGAUCUUUAAAGUGGCUACAUUUUGAGUCAUGGAGGUGGUGGGGAAAAAAUGUGAGUGAGAUGUUUGGUACCUGCACGUCUUAAGAGUGGGUUGUGAAAUGUGACAACGGUGGUCAGAGAGGACUUUAGAGUAAAAUGGGUCAUGUACCCAAACAGAAGAGGGUUUUGGUGAAGUUAAUGCUUAUGAUUGCUCUCGAGAACGUCUUCCAGAAACCUUGCAAUGACACAUGCUAUCACUCACUUUAGGGAGAGGAAAGCGCAGUUACCCAAGGAGUUUCUUUAACCUGGAAUUUACGUCAAUGCAAUGCUCUAGCAUUUCCCCAAUGCUUGAAAGGUUUCAAGAUGUCUCGGUGUUAUACAGAUUUUCGGGAUGGAACAAAAGAAGCUCAUGAUAACACAUGUAGUACCAAUGGUCCUAAUGCUCCGGUUCCGUGUCUGCUUAAAGAUCCGACUGCGUCUGUCGGCAACCCAUCUGCCACCACUAGAACCAGCAUUUGCACAAAAACAGUCAAGCUAAAUGUUACCAAGCCACCCCAUACUGUUAACGGAUACUUGAACAAUGUUAAGGACAAGGCUACCAAUGCAGCACCUCCAAGGACUAAAAGGAAACAACGAAGGACAAUUUCAGCUACAGCUGGUAUCUUGGUAAAUCACACUGCCAGUGAACCCCACGUGUUGGCCACCUCUGAGCAAGCACCAAAAGAACCUGGCCUGCCUGUGACAACCAGAAUGAAAAAUAAGAGAUGCAGAGGCACAAAAUCUGCACGUCCCAAGAAGCCAACUUUGCAGCUACUGGAGGAGGAAGACUGGGAAAAAGAAUGUGAAGACAACUUGGAAAAGACAUGUGCAGUCCAACCUUAUGGUCCAGAAGAUGUAUUUGCGAUUGCUUUUGAGGGUUUAACACUGGAACAGCGGGGCGACAUGCCUUACGCAGCCAGUUACAGUCCAGCUGCUCACCACGCACGCCCACUCCUGUUGUCCUGCUCCAUCAUCGCUGUUGAGCCUGAACAGUUUGCUGAUGCUUAAAUCCGCAUUUUGCUCCCACCUUGAUUCAUUACAGUAAAAUUUAUUCAUCCUUAUUGGGAGUUAGGAAGAUUAAGGUUCAUUUGUAAAAUACUACAAACAUCAGUUAUGUUAGCAUCUAUGUAAUUCAUUUAAAAAAAACGCAUAGGAGAUAUUUUGCGGUAGCUUUUAUUUCUUGUUUU